RNAcentral lists this long non-coding RNA (1029 nucleotides) under Homo sapiens (human). RNAcentral describes it as "HSALNT0292377". Lineage: Eukaryota; Metazoa; Chordata; Mammalia; Primates; Hominidae. The record is from RNAcentral.
AACCGAUUUGAAGAGGUUGCCAUUCACUCUGUCAGGCUGCGUGUGGGAUUCAUCAGGACCCAGCCUCGCUUUCUUUCACCCCGCAUCAAUGUGCCCUAAAGGAUUUUUCUUUAAACCUGAUUGCUUGGAAGGCAUUGUUGUUGCAGAACAUGGCAAGGGCUCAUCAGAUGCUGAAUGAACAAACACACUGGACUGCAGCCUUAGUUGCUUUAUCUGUUGCAUGAAAUGGUUGAAUUAGAUUUCAGUCACUCAACCAGUAUCUCCUGAACCUCUACCAUGUGUCAAGCACUGAGCCAGGCCGGGGACAGAGGCUCACACCUGUAAUCCCAGCACUUUGGAAGGCUGAGGUGGGCGGAUCACCUGAGGUCAGGAGUUCGAGACCAGCCUGGCCAACAGGGUGAAACCCCGUCUCUAUUAAAAAUAAAACAUUAGCCGGGCAUGGUGGUAUGCAUCUGUACUUCCAGCUACUCAGAACGCUGAGGCAGGAGAAUCACUUGAACCCAGAAGGCGGAGAUUACAGUCAGCCGAGAUCGUGCCAUUGCACUCCAGCCUGGGCAAAAAAGAACGAAACUCUGUCUCAAAACAAAACAAACAAAAAACACCGAGCCUGCAUCAAUCAUGGACAGUGGCAUCAAGACUACAGACUAGUAGAAUUGAAACAGGGACUAUAAAGCAAGGACCCAAGUGACCACCUGGUAAUUACUUCAACAGCAGAGCGACUCAUACAGCCGGCAGUCCACUUUGUUCUUCUAUAGAUCCUGCCUGUGGUGUUGGAUCUAACAGCUUCUUCCCUGACCCAAGAUUAUGAAGGAUUUCUCCUGUGUUCUCUUCUAAAAAUUUUACAUUUAGGUCCUGGGCUUUCUCUGCUAGAAGAGGCUGAAUUCCUGGAGUACCUAGAGUACAGAGCUGAGUUUCACCUGCCACCUGGAUCAUUUCCUAUUUUUCUGCAGCCACUUCAGGGCGGGGACCCAGUAUCACUCUCUUACCAGCUUUGCUGCCAGUUUUCCAUCCAUCCCCCGGGGCUGAGAU